Molecule: ribosomal RNA, 204 nt
Filed under: Clostridia bacterium
Lineage: Bacteria; Bacillati; Bacillota; Clostridia
Description: partial 23S ribosomal RNA
Rfam family: Bacterial large subunit ribosomal RNA
Source: RNAcentral
GAUCAAGCGAAAAAGAGCGUAUGGUGGAUGCCUUGGCACUAGACGCCGACGAAGGACGUGAUAAGCUGCGAAAAGCUACGGGGAGCCGCAAAUAGGCCGUGAUCCGUGGGUGUCCGAAUGUGGGAACACAUCAGGGUUAACCCCCUGAUACCGUUAUAUGAAUACAUAGUGUAGCGGAGGGAACCUGGGGAAUUGAACCAUCUU